UGAUUAUAUAUAUCAGUUAUACUCUCAUGUAAUAUGAGUUGUAAUUUAAGCAAUAGUCUCAUGCAUUAAAAAAAACCUUAUUAAUUAAUUAUUGAUAUUAUAACCUGCAUAUCUCACCCAAGAUUCCGUAGUAAAAGUAAAAGUUCAAAUAAUAAUAAUAAUAAAUAAAACAUAACAAUAAACAAACAACAAUCAGGGGGUGAUGAAACGCAACGCAGCGUUUCAGCAAAACCUAUCAUCGGCAUUGGUCGAGUUAGCCGCCGGUGGGAUUUCAAAGUGCCAGAUCCUCCCCACGGCGUCCUUCAAGUACUUUCUACACAAGAACUCCUCGGCGAAGGCCUUCUCCACUCUCCGAUCAACAUCGUGCAGGUACACGUGCGUCACACCGGAUCCUCUCCUCCGCCUGGCCAUAACCGCCGCCGAGAAUAUUGCUGCCAUCCGCCCCGGCGCCCGCGGGAAGUACCCGCGCGGAGCGUCGAUCAUGAUGAUGUCCCACUGCUGGUCGUAGACCUCGUCGGGGAGGCCGGUCAAGGCGAGCUUGCAGCCAACAUUGCCACGUAGGAAGGCUUUGGAGGGGGAGCAAAGGGGUUCUUUUUUGUAGGAGGAGAGGAGGGCGUCGGCUUCCGAGAGCUGAGUGCGGUACUGGACGGCGUGGGCAUUGAGUGUAGGGGCGUCCUUGAGGACGGACUGGACCCACUUGGGAUCCUCCUCGAGGAAUAGCGUGGUGCCACGUGGAUUGAAGGAGUUCCACAUGAGGGAGUCGUAUCCGAGGCCGAAGACGAGGAAGUUGCAAGGGGAUAUUUCUUUGAGGACGUUGAAGGACACGGUUAUUUCGGCAAGCGAUUGCUGGGGGACGAUUUUUGAGGUGGCAUAGUGUAGAAUGGCGCGGAGUUGGAUCGGCGUGGUGGUGUACUCGGCUACGUCUCGGGCUUUGGAGCUGGCCAGCGAACAGAAGAACGAGUUCUCGGCUGACCGGAUUAACGUCGAAAUCACUAGCGCUGCGGCGAUUAGUCCGGCGAUUGCGACCACCAGGAGUUUCUUUUUCUCCGGUUGAAACUGAGGGCUCUUCGUCAUUUCAAUUUGUGUCCUUUUUUUUUUUUGGAAAGAAAAUAAUAAUCGAGAUUAACUGCUGUACCGUACAUCCGCCUUGGCCGUACAGCAGGUAAAAGUUCAAAUAAUAAUAAUAAUAAAUAAAACAUAACAAUAAACAAACAACAAUCAGGGGGUGAUGAAACGCAACGCAGCGUUUCAGCAAAACCUAUCAUCGGCAUUGGUCGAGUUAGCCGCCGGUGGGAUUUCAAAGUGCCA
This 1308-nucleotide long non-coding RNA is filed under the name Citrus sinensis (sweet orange). Its description in RNAcentral is "long non-coding RNA (CSIN_LNC002888)". Lineage: Eukaryota; Viridiplantae; Streptophyta; Magnoliopsida; Sapindales; Rutaceae. The record is from RNAcentral.